UGGGGAAUAUUGGACAAUGGGCGCAAGCCUGAUCCAGCAAUGCCGCGUGUGUGAAGAAGGCCUUCGGGUUGUAAAGCACUUUUAUCAGGAGCGAAACGCUGUCGGCUAAUACCCGGCGGAACUGACGGUACCUGAGGAAUAAGCACCGGCUAACUUCGCGCCAGCAGCCGCGGUAAUACGAAGGGUGCAAGCGUUAAUCGGAAUUACUGGGCGUAAAGCGUGCGUAGGCGGUUUCUUAAGUCUGCUGUGAAAUCCCCGGGCUCAACCUGGGAAUGGCAGUGGAUACUGGGAGGCUAGAGUGUGUCAGAGGGUGGUGGAAUUCCCGGUGUAGCGGUGAAAUGCGUAGAGAUCGGGAGGAACAUCAGUGGCGAAGGCGGCCACCUGGGACAACACUGACGCUGAGGCACGAAAGCGUGGGGAGCAAACAGGAUUAGAUACCCUGGUAGUCCACGCCCUAAACGAUGCGAACUGGAUGUUGGUCUCAACUCGGAGAUCAGUGUCGAGGCUAACGCGUUAAGUUCGCCGCCUGGGGAGUACGGUCGCAAGACUG
This 550-nucleotide ribosomal RNA is filed under the name uncultured bacterium. RNAcentral's name for it is "partial 16S ribosomal RNA". It matches the Rfam family "Bacterial small subunit ribosomal RNA", at positions 355 to 896 of the family's 1533-position model. The record is from RNAcentral.